CCCAGGUCAGGCGGGGGCUACC
RNAcentral lists this ribosomal RNA (22 nucleotides) under Saponaria kermanensis. Its description in RNAcentral is "partial 28S ribosomal RNA". Lineage: Eukaryota; Viridiplantae; Streptophyta; Magnoliopsida; Caryophyllales; Caryophyllaceae. The record is from RNAcentral.